RNAcentral lists this small nucleolar RNA (83 nucleotides) under Kwoniella dejecticola CBS 10117. Its description in RNAcentral is "Small nucleolar RNA snR60/Z15/Z230/Z193/J17". It matches the Rfam family "Small nucleolar RNA snR60/Z15/Z230/Z193/J17", at positions 12 to 90 of the family's 98-position model. Rfam says of the family: The members of this family belong to the C/D class of snoRNAs which contain the C (UGAUGA) and D (CUGA) box motifs. Most of the members of the box C/D family function in directing site-specific 2'-O-methylation of substrate RNAs. The record is from Rfam by way of RNAcentral. Lineage: Eukaryota; Fungi; Basidiomycota; Tremellomycetes; Tremellales; Cryptococcaceae.
GAUGAUACAUAAAUCAAGCAUAGUUCACUCUGAAAAUACAUGAACGAACUACAACUAGAAAUUAGUCUUUCGCUCCUAUCUGA